GGAGAGGUGUCCGAGCGGUCGAAGGAGCACGACUGGAAAUCGUGUAUACGCUAAAACGUAUCGAGGGUUCGAAUCCCUCCCUCUCCGCCA
RNAcentral lists this transfer RNA (90 nucleotides) under Coxiellaceae bacterium. RNAcentral describes it as "tRNA-Ser". It matches the Rfam family "tRNA". Rfam says of the family: Transfer RNA (tRNA) molecules are approximately 80 nucleotides in length. Lineage: Bacteria; Pseudomonadati; Pseudomonadota; Gammaproteobacteria; Legionellales; Coxiellaceae. The record is from RNAcentral.